CGCCCAAAACAUAGCCCCCGAAGGUCGGGGUGCCAAGACCCCCCAGCGGAAAAAUGGCCAAAAAACGGGUGGGCUAUAGCCUUGGUGGGGGGCGUAGGCGAAGUUCGUCCACAGGACUCGGAAUGGCCCCAGACUUUGCGGGCGGCCCUCGUGUGCCAAUAAUAGGCCACGGGCACAGCCGCGCCAAAAAAUUUGCCCCCGAAGGUCGGGGUGCCAAGACCCCCCAGCGGAAAAAUGGCCAAAAAACGGGUGGGCUAUAGCCUUGGUGGGGGGCGUUGGCGAAGUUCGUCCGCAGGACUCGGAAUGGCCCCAGACUUUGCGGGCGGCCCUCGUGUGCCAAAAAUAGGCCACGGGCACAGUCGCGCCCAAAAAUUAGCCCCCGAAGGUCGGGGUGCCAAGACCCCCCAGCGGAAAAAUAGCCAUAAAACGGGUGGGCUAUAGCCUUGGUGGGGGGCGUGGGCGAAGAUCGUCCGCAGGACUCGGAAUGGCCCCAGACUAUGCGGGCGGCCCUCGUCUGCCAAAAAUAGGCCACGGACACAGCCGCGCCGAAAAAUUAGCCCCCGAAGGUCGGGGUGCCAAGACCCCCCAGCGGAAAAAUGGCCAAAAAACGGGUGGUUUAUAGCCUUGGUGGGGGGCGUGGGUGAAGUUCGUCCGCCGGACUCGGAAUGGCCCCAGACUUUGCGGGCGGCCCUCGUGCGCCAAAAAUAGGCCACGGGCACAGCCGCGCCCAAAAAUUAGCCCCCGAAGGUCGGGGUGCCAAGACCCCCGAGCGGAAAAAUGGCCAAAAAACGGGUGGUUUAUAGCCUUGGUGGGGGGCGUGGGCGAAGUUCGUCCGCCGGACUCGGAAUGGCCCCAGACUUUGCGGGCAGCCCUCGUGUGCCAAAAAUAGCCCACGGGCACAGCCGUGCCCAAAAAUUAGCCCCCGAAGGUCGGGGUGCCAAGACCCCCCAGCGGAAAAAUGGCCAAAAAACGGGUGGGCUAUAGCCUUGGUGGGGGGCGUUGGCGAAGUUCGUCCGCAGGGCUCGGAAUGGCCCCAGACUUUACGGGCGGCCCUCGUCUGCCAAAAAUAGGCCACGGGCACAGCCGCGCCCAAAAAUUAGCCCCCGACGGUCGGGGUGCCAAGAUCCCCCUGCGGAAAAAUGGCCAAAAAACGGGUGGGCUAUAGCCUUGGUGGGGGGCGUGGGCGAAGUUCGUCCGCAGGACUCGGAAUGGACCCAGACUUUGCGGGCGGCCCUCGUCUGCCAAAAAUAGGCCACGGGCACACCCGCGCCCAAAAAUUAGCCCCCGAAGGUCGGGGUGCCAAGACCCCCCAGCGGAAAAAUGGACAAAAAGCGGGUGGGCUAUAGCGUUGGAGGGGGGCGUGGGCGAAGUUCGUCCGCCGGACUCGGAAUGGCCCCAGACUUUGCGGGCGGCCUCCGUGUGCCAAAAAUAGGCCAUGGGCACAGCUGCGCCCAAAAACUAGCCCCCGAAGGUCGGGGUGCCAAGACCCCCCAGCGGAAAAAUGGCCAAAAAACGGGUGGGCUAUAGCCUUCGUGGGGGGCGUGGGCGAAGUUCGUCCGCCGGACUCGAAAUGGCCCCAGACUUUGCGGGCGGCCCUCGCGUGCCAAAAAUAAGCCACGAUCACAGCCGCGCCCAAAAAUUAGCCCCCGAAGGUCGGGGUUUCAAGACGCGCUAGCGGAAAAAUGGCCAAAAAACGGGUGGGCUAUAGCCUUGGUGGGGGGCGUGGGCGAAGUUCGUCCGCAGGACUCGGAAUGGCCCCAGACUUUGCGGGCGGCCCUCGUGUGCCAAAAAUAGGCCACGGACACAGUCGCGCCCAAAAAUUAGCCCCCGAAUGUCGGGGUGCCAAGACCCCCCAGCGGAAAAAUGGCCGAAAAACGGGUGGGCUAUAGCCUUGGUGGGGGGCGCGGGCGAAGUUCGUCCGCCGGACUCGGGAUGGCCCCAGACCUUGCGGGCGGCCCUCGUGUGCCAAAAAAAGGCCACGGGCACAGCCGCGCCCAAAAAUUAGCCCCCGAAGGUCGGGCUGCCAAGACCCCCCAGCGGAAAAAUGGCCAAAAAACGGGUGGGCUAUAGCCUUGGUGGGGGGCGUGGGCGAAGUUCGUCCGCAGGACUCGGAAUGACCCAAGACUUUGCGGGCGGCCCUCGUGUGCCAAUAAUAGGCCACGGGCACAGCCGCGCCCAAAAAUUUGCCCCCGAAGGUCGGGGUACCAAGACCCCCCAGCGGAAAAAUGGCCAAAAAACGGGUGGGCUAUAGCCUUCGUGGGGGGCGUUGGCGAAGUUCGUCCGCAGGACUCGGAAUGGCCCCAGACUUUGCGGGCGGCCAUCGUGUGCCAAAAAUAGGCCACGGGCGUAGCCGCGCCCAAAAAUUAGCCCCCGAAGUUCGGGGUGCCAAGACCCCCCAGCGGAAAAAUAGCCCUAAAACGGGUGGGCUAUAGCCUUCGUGGGGGGCGUGGGCGAAGAUCGUCCGCAGGACUCGGAAUGGCCCCAGACUUUGCGGGCGGCCCUUGUCUGCCAAAAAUAGGCCACGGACACAGCCGCGCCCAAAAAUUAGCCCCCGAAGGUCGGGGUGCCAAGACCCCCCAGCGGAAAAAUGGCCAAAAAACGGGUGGUUUAUAGCCUUGGUGGGGGGCGUGGGAGAAGUUCGUCCGCCGGACUCGGAAUGGCCCCAGACUUUGCGGGCGGCCCUCGUGUGCCAAAAAUAGGCCACGGGCACAGCCGCGCCCAAAAAUUAGCCCCCGAAGGUCGGGGUGCCAAGACCCCCCAGCGGAAAAAUGGCCAAAAAACGGGUGGGCUAUAGCCUUGGUGGGGGGGGUGGGCGAAGUUCGUCCGCAGGACUAGAAAUGCCCCAAGACUUUGUAGUCGGCCCUCGUGUGCCAAAAAUUGGCCACGGACACAGCCGCGCCCAAAAAUUAGCCCCCGAAGGUCGGGGUGCCAAGACCCCCCAGCGGAAAAAUGGACAAAAAGCGGGUGGGCUAUAGCGUUGGAGGGGGGCGUGGGCGAAGUUCGUCCGCCGGACUCGGAAUGGCCCCAGACUUUGCGGGCGGCCUCCGUGUGCCAAAAAUAGGCCACGGGCACAGCUGCGCCCAAAAACUAGCCCCCGAAGGUCGGGGUGCCAAGACCCCCCAGCGGAAAAAUGGCCAAAAAACGGGUGGGCUAUAGCCUUGGGGGUGGGGCUGGCAAACUUCGUCCGCCGGACUCGGAAUGCCCCCAGACUUUGCGGCCGGCCCUCGUGUGCCAAAAAUAGGCCGCGGGCACAGCCGCUCCCAAAAAUAACCGCCCGAACGCCGGGGCGCCAAGUUCGUCCCGCGGAAAAAGGCCACAAAAACGGGUGGGCUAUAGCCUUGGGGGGUGGGGCUGACCAACUUCGUCCGCCGGACUUGGAAUGGCGCGAGACUUUGCGAGCGUCCUCCGUGUGGCAAAAAUAGGCCGCAGGCACAGCCACGCCCAAAAAUAACCGCACGAAGGCCGGGGCACCAAGUUCGUCCAGCGGAAAAAGGCCACGAAAACGGGUGGGGCUGGCAAACUUCGUCCGCCGGACUCGGAAUGGCGCGAGACUUUGCGAGCGGCCUCCAUGUGCCAAAAAUAGGCCGCGGGCACAGCCGCGCCCAAAAAUAACCGCGUGAAGGCCAGGGCGUCAUGUUCGUCCAGCAGAACAAGGCCAAACAAACUGGUGGGCUAUAGCCUUGGGGGGUGCGGCUGGCCGACUUCGUCCGCCGGACUCGGAAUGGCGCGAGACUUUGCGAGCGGCCUCCGUGUGCCAAAAAUAGGCCGCGGGCACAGCCGCGCCCAAAAAUAACCGCCCGAAGGCCGGGGCGCCAAGUUCGUCCAGCGGAAAAAGGCCACAAAAACGGGUGGGCUAUAGCCUUGGGGGGUGGGGCUGGCCCACUUCGUCCGCCGGACUCGGAAUGGCACGAGACUUUGCGAGUGGCCUCCAUGAGCCAAAAAUAGGCCACGGGCACAGCCGCGCCCAAAAAUAACCGCCCGAAGGCCGGGGCGCCGAGUUCGUCCAGCGGAAAAAGGCCACAAAAACGGGUGGGCUAUAGCCUUGGGGGGUGGGGCUGGCCAACUUCGUCCGCCGGACUCGGAAUGGCGCGAGACUUUGCGAGGCACCUCCGUGUGCCAAAAAUAGGCCGCGGGCACAGCAGUACCCAAAAAUAACCUCCGGAAGGCCGGGGCGCCGAGUUCGUCCAGCGGAAAAAGGCCAGAAAAACGGGUGGGCUAUAGCCUUGGGGGGUGGGGCUGGCCAACUUCAUCUGCCGGACUCGGAAUGGCGCGAGUCUUCAUGAACGGCCUCCGUGUGCCAAAUAUAGGCCACGGGCACAGCCCCGUCCAAAAAUAACCGCCCGAACACCGGGGCGCCAAGUUCGUCCCGCGGAAAAAGGCCACAAAAACGGGAGGGCUAUAGCCUUGGGGGGUGGGGCUGGCCAACUUCGUCCGCCGGACUUGGAAUGGCGCGAGACUUUACGAGCGUCCUCCGUGUGCCAAAAAUAGGCCGCAGGCACAGCCACGCCCAAAAAUAACCGCACGAAGGCCGGGGCAACAAGUUCGUCCAGCGGAAAAAGGCCACGAAAACGGGUGGGCUAUAGCCUUGGGGGGUGGGGCUGGCCCACAUCGUCCGCCGGACUCGGAAUGGCACGAGACUUUGCGAGCGGCCUCCGUGUGCCAAAAAUAGGCCGCGGGCACAGCCACAACCAAAAAUUACUGCCCGAAGGCCGGGGUGCCCAGUUUGUCCAGCGGAAAAAGGCCACAAAAACGGGUGGGCUAUAGCCUUGCGGGGUGGGGAUAGCCAACUUCGUCCGCCGUACACGGAAUGGCGCAAGACUUUGCGAUUGGCCUCCGUGUGCCAAAAAUAGGCCGCGGGUACAGCCGCGCCCAAAAAAAACCACCCGAAGGCCGGGGCGCCAAGUUCGUCCAGCGGAAAAAGGCCACAAAAACGGGUGGGCUAUAGCCUUGGGGGGUGGGGCUAUCCAAAUUCGUCCGCCGGACUCGGAAAGGCGCGAGACUUUACGAGGCACCUCCGUGUGCCAAAAAUCGGUCGCGAGCAUAGCCGCGCCCAAAAAUAUCCGCCCGAAGGCCGGGGCGCCAAGUUCGUCCAGCGGAAAAAGGCCACAAAAACGGGUGGGCUAUAGCCUUGGGGGGUGGGGCUGGCCAACUUCGUCCGCCAGACUGGGAAUGGUGCUAGACUUUGCGAGGCACCUCCGUGUGCCAAAAAUAGGCCGUGGGCACAACCGCACCCAAAAAUAACUGCCCGAUGGCCGGGGCGCCAAGUUCGUCCAGCGGAAAAAGGCCACAAAAACGGGUGGGCUAUAGCCUUGGGGGAUGGGGCUGGCCGACUUCGUCCGCCGGACUCGGAAUGGCUCGAGACUUUGCGUGCGUCCUCCGUGUGACAAAAAUAGGCCGCGGGCACAGCCGCGCCCAAAAAUAACCCCCCGAAGGCCGGGGCGCCAAGUUCGUCCAGCGGAAAAUGGCCACAAAAACGGGUGGGCUAUAGCCUUGGGGGGUGCGGCUGGCCAACUUCGUCCGCCGGACUCGGAACGGCGCGAGACUUUGCGAGGCACCUCCGCGUGCCAAAAAUAGGCCGCGGACACAGCUGUGCCCAAAAAUAACAGCCCGAAGGCCGGGGCGCCAAGUUCGUCCAGGGGAAAAAGGCCUCAAAAACUGGUGCGCUAUAGCCUUGGGGGGUGGGGCUGGCCAACUUCGUCCGCCGGACUCGGAAUGGCGCGAGACUUUGCGAGGCACCUCUAUGUACCAAAAAUAGGCCGCGGGCACAGCCGCUCCCAAAAAUAAACCCCCGAAGGCCGGGGCACCAAGUUCGUCCAACGGAAAAAGGCCACAAAAACGGGUGGGCUAUAGC
This 5851-nucleotide long non-coding RNA is filed under the name Citrus x clementina. RNAcentral's name for it is "Citrus clementina (C. clementina) long non-coding RNA (CCLE_LNC000660)". The record is from RNAcentral. Lineage: Eukaryota; Viridiplantae; Streptophyta; Magnoliopsida; Sapindales; Rutaceae.